Molecule: ribosomal RNA, 1506 nt
Filed under: uncultured bacterium
Lineage: Bacteria
Description: bacterial SSU rRNA
Rfam family: Bacterial small subunit ribosomal RNA
Source: RNAcentral
CUGGCUCAGAUGAACGCUGGCGGCGUGCCUAAUACAUGCAAGUCGAACGAGUUCUCGUUGAUGAUCGGUGCUUGCACCGAGAUUCAACAUGGAACGAGUGGCGGACGGGUGAGUAACACGUGGGUAACCUGCCCUUAAGUGGGGGAUAACAUUUGGAAACAGAUGCUAAUACCGCAUAGAUCCAAGAACCGCAUGGUUCUUGGCUGAAAGAUGGCGUAAGCUAUCGCUUUUGGAUGGACCCGCGGCGUAUUAGCUAGUUGGUGAGGUAAUGGCUCACCAAGGCGAUGAUACGUAGCCGAACUGAGAGGUUGAUCGGCCACAUUGGGACUGAGACACGGCCCAAACUCCUACGGGAGGCAGCAGUAGGGAAUCUUCCACAAUGGACGCAAGUCUGAUGGAGCAACGCCGCGUGAGUGAAGAAGGCUUUCGGGUCGUAAAACUCUGUUGUUGGAGAAGAAUGGUCGGCAGAGUAACUGUUGUCGGCGUGACGGUAUCCAACCAGAAAGCCACGGCUAACUACGUGCCAGCAGCCGCGGUAAUACGUAGGUGGCAAGCGUUAUCCGGAUUUAUUGGGCGUAAAGCGAGCGCAGGCGGUUUUUUAAGUCUGAUGUGAAAGCCCUCGGCUUAACCGAGGAAGCGCAUCGGAAACUGGGAAACUUGAGUGCAUAAGAGGACAGUGGACUUCCAUGUGUAGCGGUGAAAUGCGUAGAUAUAUGGAAGAACACCAGUGGCGAAGGCGGCUGUCUGGUCUGUAACUGACGCUGAGGCUCGAAAGCAUGGGGUAGCGAACAGGAUUAGAUACCCUGGUAGUCCAUGCCGUAAACGAUGAAUGCUAGGUGUUGGAGGGUUUCCGCCCUUCAGUGCCGCAGCUAACGCAUUAAGCAUUCCGCCUGGGGAGUACGACCGCAAGGUUGAAACUCAAAGGAAUUGACGGGGGCCCGCACAAGCGGUGGAGCAUGUGGUUUAAUUCGAAGCAACGCGAAGAACCUUACCAGGUCUUGACAUCUUUUGAUCACCUGAGAGAUCAGGUUUCCCCUUCGGGGGCAAAAUGACAGGUGGUGCAUGGUUGUCGUCAGCUCGUGUCGUGAGAUGUUGGGUUAAGUCCCGCAACGAGCGCAACCCUUAUGACUAGUUGCCAGCAUUUAGUUGGGCACUCUAGUAAGACUGCCGGUGACAAACCGGAGGAAGGUGGGGAUGACGUCAAAUCAUCAUGCCCCUUAUGACCUGGGCUACACACGUGCUACAAUGGAUGGUACAACGAGUUGCGAGACCGCGAGGUCAAGCUAAUCUCUUAAAGCCAUUCUCAGUUCGGACUGUAGGCUGCAACUCGCCUACACGAAGUCGGAAUCGCUAGUAAUCGCGGAUCAGCACGCCGCGGUGAAUACGUUCCCGGGCCUUGUACACACCGCCCGUCACACCAUGAGAGUUUGUAACACCCGAAGCCGGUGGCGUAACCCUUUUAGGGAGCGAGCCGUCUAAGGUGGGACAAAUGAUUAGGGUGAAGUC